UGGCACUAAAAUAAUUUGAAGAUAUUGCUAUAAACCUCAUUUUCAUCUCUAGAAAACUCUAGACCCUGUUCAUCAGGCAGUAGUAAUCAGAAGACAUAAUUCGGACUGGAUCAUCGGUACUUAUAUCUAUCCCCUCUUUCAUUCAACAGUAAAAAAAUAAAACCAACAUUCCCCCUUCUUUCGACGCCCUAUUAAGCUAACAGAACUUGGUGUCAAUUGAAAUAACUUAGUAACAAGAUAAUGGAAAAACACUCCAUGCGGCUAACCCAGGCAGGUUCUAUAGAUAACCAACAAGCAAAAUGUGACAACGAGAGGUCAAAUAGACAACUAAAUAGGUUCUAUAGAUAACUGACAAGAAGAAUGACAAUGAGAGGUCAACGAAACACGGGUUAUCAACCCUGUAACACAUUCUCUGCCACGUGAAAACAAAUUUGAUCAAGCAAUUGAUCUAUUAUCUCAAAGGUAAUUUAUUGCACUUUAAAUAUCAACUCCAGAUUACCCCAAAUAAAUCUUGAUUUGUUAGAUGCCCAUUAUUUCACUCUGUCAUGUUCCAGCAGACAAACGAGAUUGAAUAGACUUAAACAUGAAUAUACCCCAUGAUCACUCUAUUACCAUUAAAAAAAUCAGCAUAGCAUAAAAUUAGGGCAUAACGAGAGCAGAGCUUCAUGUUUGACAAUCACCACCCCAGGCCAAUCGUAAACAAAAGUCACUAGUUUGAUAUUAAUUAAGCAAGAUCACGCCUCAGAGACAAAACUUUCACAACAAAAGUAGACAUUUGUUAAAAAGACCAAAAUUCAACGUACUUCUAACCUAUUUGCCAUUAAUCCGACAACCCAAUCUAAUCAAGCAAAAAAUACACAUCUUUAUACGCGCGCAAACAUAUAUAUACAUAUACCAGAGAAAUGGAGAGGGAGUCCUCGAUAAUACUAAAAUUCAUUAAAACCCACAAGAGUUGCCUCAAGAAUACCAUAAUCGCUGUAAUUCUACAAGAAACCCCAAAAAAGUCUGAAUCUUUUAUCACAAAAAAUGAUACAGAGAAAGCCCAUAAGCAAAAUGGAAAAAGCAACAGAAAGAACUAUUUUUCCAACAUGCUGAGCCGAUUCUAGACGAAAUUGAGGGUGAUCCACGGUAGAACUAGAUGCGCUUGGUUGAGAGGAAUGUUUUGGUGGUGCUCCACGAUCGAGAGGGUGACCGGAUGUGGAAGUAACUGGGAAAAAUCGUGAUUGCGCUCGCGAUUUUGGAUGGGAAUUGGUGCUGUUUCCGACGGUCUGGUGGGCAGGCAAUGGUCGAAGGUUGUAGAGGGAGGUGAGAAGGUGCCGGUGGUGUAUGGGUCCGGUGGAUUAGGUGGCGGGUGGUGGUUUUUAUCGAUGGAAGGUGAUGGAGGAUUGGUAGCUCAAGAAAGAUGAAGAAUUUUGGGGAAAUGGACCAUUUCCCAUGUUUUCAUAUUUUGGGC
This 1453-nucleotide long non-coding RNA is filed under the name Olea europaea (common olive). Its description in RNAcentral is "long non-coding RNA (OEUR_LNC000049)". The record is from RNAcentral. Lineage: Eukaryota; Viridiplantae; Streptophyta; Magnoliopsida; Lamiales; Oleaceae.